Molecule: non-coding RNA, 762 nt
Filed under: Diaphanosoma dubium
Lineage: Eukaryota; Metazoa; Arthropoda; Branchiopoda; Diplostraca; Sididae
Source: RNAcentral
AAAGAGUUUGAGUCUGGCUCAUGUUUCACUACGAACUGAAUAUAAAUAUGAAGUUAUCAAUUAAAAAAAUGAAUUUGUAGUAUAUAAUAUUAGUUAUUAGAAAUACUAGAACUAGUCAAGUUCCCAAGGACUAGCAAAAAUCGUGCCAGCCGCUGCGGUUAGACGAAGAGUCCAAGUGAAACCUAAAGAAUAAGUUUAGCAGAGUUAGUUGUAUUUUAAGAAAAAGACAUUAAUUUAUUAAGGAGGUAGAAUUCAAAUAAAUAAAAAAUUUUUAUUUAAUACUAAACACAACCUAAAAAACCUAGAUUAAAAACCAGGAUUAGAUACCCUGCUAUUCUAGGCAAAAUAACUCAGGGUAGUAAAAGAAGUUCUUCAAACCCAAAGACUUUGGCGGUAUCCUAACAUAACAGAGGAGCUUGUCCCGUAAUCGAUAGUCCCCGUUUAAUCUUACUUAAUCUCGCCCACAGCUUGUGUACUACCGUUGUAAGGUUAAUUUUAAAGAACAUUUCCAGCCUUAAUUUCUCUUAAACAAUUCAGGUCACAGUACAGCUCAUGAUUAAGGGGUGAUGAGCUACAAUUGAAUUUAUCAACUACGAAACAGCAGUGAAAUUCUGCUAGGAAGGCGGAUUUGUCAGUAAGUAUUUUUAAGAAAAAACUACUGAAGAAUGCAAUAGGAUAUGCACAUAUCGCCCGUCACUCUCCUAUUUAAAAGGAGAUAAGUCGUAACAUAGUAGAUGUACCGGAAGGUGUAUCUAGAACGAC